Molecule: non-coding RNA, 640 nt
Organism: Peromyscus maniculatus bairdii (prairie deer mouse)
Lineage: Eukaryota; Metazoa; Chordata; Mammalia; Rodentia; Cricetidae
Source: RefSeq, a predicted model, not a curated record
UUGAAAUGGAUGGAGCACUUUCCCAGCUGGUUUCCCCCAACACACAUUUCUAUGUCUGUCUUUUCUGACCCACUGAGAUUCAUUCAGCUUCCUUAUGGAGAUUGGAUGAGGGCUCGUGAAACACCUGCUGAAGACCAGGAGACAUAUCAUCACUCUGGUGCCUACAAUAGACAGAGAUGCUUCCAGGGGCUGUGCCAACCUGAUGCCUCUUGCCAGCUGGUCCAGGAUUAAGUCUUAAUGCCAGAAGCAUGUAAUCCAUAGCCUGUUAUAUAUUCUAUUAUCUUUCUUAUAUGCAGAAAUUUUAAAAACCAAACACCACUAUUGUAAUUUGCACAUAAACACUGCAGACUGGUCUCAUUGGAUCUCAGCUGGGCACAGCAGGGGAGCCCUACAAGACUCUCAGCUGGGAGGGAAACUUGGAGCCAGAACUGCUGAAGGAAAGCUGAGAUGGAGCUGAUCCCCAGCCUUUCCAUGGAAACCUGGGUGCUGCUGGCUUCCAGCCUGGUGCUCAUCUACAUAUAUGGGACCUAUUCUAAUGGGAUUUUUAAGAAGCUCGGCAUUCCUGGACCCAAACCUCUGCCUUUUUUGGGAACCAUUUUGGGCUACCGAAAUGGUUUGUGGAAAUUUGAUAUAGACUGCU